Molecule: RNA transcript, 1008 nt
Organism: Syzygium oleosum
Lineage: Eukaryota; Viridiplantae; Streptophyta; Magnoliopsida; Myrtales; Myrtaceae
Exons: 5
Source: RefSeq, a predicted model, not a curated record
CUUUGUGUGUGUCUGUCCAAGUUUAUGGUAAUGAUGAGAUUCGAUGACCGGUUAAUAAGGUGUGACUGAGGUGAAACUACCUGGAGCCAGAAUAACAAUUUCAGACCGUAGAGUUUGGGAAGUGACAUUUGAGUUACUAAAAUCUUCUUCUGCUUCUUUAUUUUGUUUAAUUUGUCUUGCUGACUCUGUCAUUAUGAUUAUCGCUUCAACCUCAUUCCAGUAAACGGGCGUCUUGUUGCUUGCCUGACAUCUUUCUUCAACUGAGAGUACAUGAAAUUCCCAGGCAGUGGCAGAUUUCUCGCGUGGCUCGCAAAACCAAAUUCCUCGGGAAACUAUCUGGGACUGGAAAUCCGGUAGAAAGUAUGGCAUGAACACCUUGGGUUGCUUCUAGCACACUCAGCAAUUACUCUGAUGCGUCAGUGUACUACAAUCUUGGUUUAUUCUCAUUUGAUGGAAGAGCGUGGAGAUUUAGUUCGUAUUCUUGAAAUGUACUAUUUGCCGCUUGCUAAGCGUGCGGAAUGCCGGGUAAAGGAUCUGGCUCUAAAGAACAUACAUUUUCUGUUUGCAAAUGCCACAGUUUCUUUCAAACAUAUAAUGUCCACUUACCCAGGUCCUUUGAUGUUAGUUUCGAUCCUUUGUCCAGAUCCUCAUGUCAAGAAAAAGCAUCACAAGAGAAGGGUUGUGCAGAAGCCUUUGGUAGAUUCUAUUUUGGAUAGUCUAGCGCCUGGGGGGAAGAUUCUACUGUCAAAUGAUCUGUUCAGACGGAAAACAGCAUUUGGGUUAAGGAGAAGGCAAUUUUGUGCCUGGAGCUAGAAAUCGCUACUUCACAUCCUCUGGUGCUUUGUUGAAAUCACUCUCCCAGUCGUGGUUAAGCUUUUGACUUUGGUAUUCAUACGAUCCGAUGUGCUCGAAGUGGCUGUUGACAUGAGAAAUCUAUUCGAUGAGAGGCGCGAUUUGCUUCAACAUGUCGAUUCGAUCGAUAUGACAAUUUCGUGCUGUGUGGGCGGA